RNAcentral lists this long non-coding RNA (1144 nucleotides) under Mus musculus (house mouse). RNAcentral describes it as "predicted gene, 36185". The record is from RNAcentral. Lineage: Eukaryota; Metazoa; Chordata; Mammalia; Rodentia; Muridae.
CAGCAGUCACCCGGAGAUGGAACUGUUGUGACCAAAGCUGGGGAUGGGGCUCUCCCAGACAGACUCAGUCUGCGCCGGGGAACGAGGGCCUGGCCCAACAGCAGGCUGAGACACUCCAGUGUGGAGGCUGUAAGCCUCCAUUUCUCAUCUCAGGAACCACCCUGGAGGGAAAAGGAACACCAGCCCUUCCAGCAGGGGGAAGCCACUCAGCAAGCAAGCUCUAUGUGCAGAGGGCCCAAAGCGCGCAGAGAGAGGACAGCGCAAGACGGAGGGAGACAGUGGGCUUGCCCGCCCGCCCGUCCCUCUGCAGCCUAGAGAAGAUGUUUGCUUAACAUUGCAUUGGACCCAAAAAACUGUUUCGCACGUCUCACAUUUAAGAGAGAUGAUAAAAUGCAGCUUUCCCAAUGAUCUGCCUAUAAAUAAUCCAUAGAACUAAGAAAAAAAAUCAUGAAAGCUAUUAACGGAAUCGCUUAGUAUCAUAAGAGAAUCCAGUGUGUACCUCCACCCCACAGAGCAGGCUGUGGAUGGAGUGGGCCUAGGAUCCUGUGCAAGUAUCAAACCAUCCACGUGCUUCCUAGGGAAGCCCACCCCUGCCUGAGAGAUCUGUUGCCCGAUCACAGACCACAGGUGGCACGUGCUUCAGAGACAACCAAGUGUAGAGACUAGAUGCUAAAACCAGAGUCAUCGAAUUAGCUCAGCCUAGGGCCUCACCUUAAUUGUGGCCAACGGCACUAAAAAUACAUGCAACCGCAAGCUGUAACGUGGUACAAGAGAAUUUAAAAACCAACAGCACUGUUUCCAAAAAUACGCUGGCUUUUAAGACUGUACAUUCUGAAAUUUAUGAACUAACUUUAUAAGCCCAAUUUAAAAUAUCCAGUGGUGCCCGCCGCAGCCUCCUGGAAACGUGAAAGGUGCCACUCUCCCAGGGAGCUUCAGACCCUGGCUUUGGAGUGCAGCACAUUUGUAUGCCUAGAUAAGCAACCACACAUGCUCCGCAGCCGCCACCACCACCGCCACCACCCAUGGGCUCCAGAUGAAGAGAAACGUUUGCUCUAGAAUGAUUAAUACGUGGCACAAAAACCAUUUAUCAAAACCCUCACUAUUCAUAAAAAUAUAGCCAGGCAUGCGAUUUUUUUUAAUACCA